GAAAUUUAAUUAGAAGAGCAGAAGUAUGUGUUCGGCAGAAUGGGUAACAUUUUCAGCAAUUUUUGUAAUAAUAAACUUUAUGAUUACUUCAUAUUAUUUCAUUAUGUAUUCCUAAUUUUCCGUUACGGCAAAAACAAACUUAAACUGCGAUAAUAUCCAUCGAGACAACGAUCUACAGUGAGAUCCGUUAUAAUGAGACGUGAUAAAGUGCACGCUCGAUUUUCUCGAAAACAAAGCCUCAAACGAAAAAUUUUUAUUCUAUAUUUUCGACUUCUUUUUUCGCGUAGAAUCACCCCCCUUCUGCUUGUACCACCAGUUACCAACCACCCUAUAUAUAUACUAAAUA
Molecule: unclassified non-coding RNA, 346 nt
Filed under: Bombus terrestris (buff-tailed bumblebee)
Lineage: Eukaryota; Metazoa; Arthropoda; Insecta; Hymenoptera; Apidae
Description: misc RNA ENSBTSG00005026648.1
Source: RNAcentral